GAUGGCAGUGACGAUUUGCAAAUAUUCAAGCUCAACAGACCAAAUCACAGGUCUUCUCUUUGUUUUGAGUUGAUUUGUAUGCCGAUUAUCCCGCUGAACCGAGCCAUC
This is a small nucleolar RNA of Lolium rigidum, 108 nucleotides long. RefSeq annotates it as small nucleolar RNA Z107/R87. Lineage: Eukaryota; Viridiplantae; Streptophyta; Magnoliopsida; Poales; Poaceae. The transcript has a single exon. The record is from RefSeq and is a predicted model, not a curated record.